AGGACUGAAGGAAGAGCCCAGUUCUACAGGGAACCUGUGAGGUGGCAAAGGGACCAGAAGAAGAAGCUGUCCGCCUGUGGCCAAAUGAAUUGAUUUUUUAAAAUUGUGGUAACGUACAUGUAAAACUUACCACUUUAACCAUUAAAAAUGCACAAUUCAGUAGCCAGUAAGUACAUUUGCCAUGCUGUGCAACCAGCACCACCAGCUAGUUCCAGAACUUUCUCAUCAGCCCAAAGCCAUUUGCCGGCACUCUCCUCCCUCAGUCCCCAGAAACCACCAAUCUACUUUCCGUCAGUGCAUUUGCCAAUUCUGGAGAUUUCAUGUGAAUAGAAUCCAACAAUGGCAUUCCAUUGUUCCACAGCCAGCUUCUCUCCCUUAACGUGGUUCGUCCACGCGGUAGCAUCCAAGGUUCAUUCCGUUUUAUGACCUAAUAAUAUUCCAUUGUGUGGACGGAUUACAUUUUAAUGUUUACCAUUCAGCUGUUGAAGGACACCUGGGUUGUUUCCAUCUUUCGGUGAUUGUGAAGAGUGCUGCUAUGCACACUGAUGUACAAGUUUUUGUUUGAGCACCUGCUCUCAGUUCUUUUGGGUGCAUACCUAGGAGUGAAGUUGCUGAGUCAUCUGGCAAUUCAUGCUUAACUUGUAGAGGAACCUCCGAACUAAUGUCCACAACAGACUGGAUUGUUCCUGGCCUUAGCUUCUCUCAGCACCCUCUUUCUUGGGCAGCUUCCCGCCACCCCCUGCUGCCGCACCUGCUCUCCUGGGUUCCAGACCCAUCGCCCGUGCCUGCAUGACCCCUCACACCUCCCAAUGCCUGUGCUUUGCCCCUGUUUUCUGCCAUUCUCUGUCCCUGGAGCAUGGGUCCCAGCGGGUGACAAGCCCCAGCCUCAGGCUGGCCCCUGGGCCACAGGUCACAAGGGUAGGGGUGCUACACCUACUGUGUGCUGCUGGUCUAACUAUACCUGAUGUCCCACUUCAUCCACCGCAAGCCCUGAGGCAGAUACUGGUAUUGUCCCAUUUGUGGAUGUGGAAACCAAGGCUCAGAGAGGUUCAGCCACUUGCCCAAGACCACACAGCCGGUAAGUGGUGGAGUGUGGGCUUAAAACAGUCUGUCUCCUCAGGGGUUAAGACUUGAGGCUCCUGGGAAGAGCCCACGACCCCUCAGACUUUUGGAAAGGAAGUUCAGAGAUGAGGUCAUGGGCUCCAGCAGAUAGAUGUAGGAGAGAUGGUGGCUCUGGGGAGAAGUGCCUCUCUCGGGGGGUGAGGUCAGAGUGAGGGUCCUCUCAGGGGGUGGCGGUCAUCAGAUCCCACAUUUCCUGGCUGCUGUGGCCCUCAGGGGCCUGCUGAGUCCUGGGGGAGUUGACAGACAGUCGAGAGAUGAUGAUUUUGCUCCAGUGGGACCAGAACCCAACAUGCGGUUUCUCCGUGCCACGGCUUGUAUCACCACUGGCAGGCUGCGAGGGAAGGGGACACCCCAAGGCAGAGUAUAGUCCUCAGCCCAUCAAGGACCCAGGCGGGUGGUCUCCCGGCUCUAGCCAUCGGAAGCUCUUCCCCACUGGAGUCUCUGGAAAACAGUUUCUGGAUCCAGGAAGCUGAAGAUCAGCUCCCCGAUGGUGGAGACCUGGAUGAGUACCUGUUGCUUUGUGGAGUCCACAAGAGGGAGAGAGGAGGGUGGCGGCGGGGUGUUUAGCCUGGGACAGGAAGGAGGAGCAGGAGUUAGCGAGGCAGGGGAAGGGGAGGGCCCAGGGGGAAGGGAUAAUGUGUGAAGGCCCCGGGGCCGGAGGGGCAUCACAGCCUGGGGGGGUGCUGAAGCCAGCCCACCUGAUGGCUAGUGUAGACAGCACCCCAAGCACGUGGGGGAGGAGGCGGAGGCGGGCAGAGACUCUACCCCGCCCCUACCUGGUGGCCUUAGCUUGUUCUGACACCUUCGCCAUCAGCCUCCUGUCACAGUGACCUGCCUACACCCUACCCCCUGGGUGACUUUCAAUGUCCUCUAGAUCAGACUUUCUUAGCCUCAUCUGUACCUGCCACAGGGACUGGUUGGCACCUGGUGAGUGUGCACAGGACCCAUAAAUAAAUAUAUGUUCGAAUUAACUGACCCAUCUCACAGAGAGAGCAAAAACUAGGGUUAGGUGAGGGUGAGGAACCUGUGUCCCUGCUGAAACCCUGAAUCCUGGGGAGGGGCAGGGCAGCCCCCUGGUGGGGCUUCCAGACGGCAAAGGGUGUCUUUAAAGGAGCCAGAUGGGGAGGAAGAGAAGACAGGCCUCCACAGCUCUCCUGGGAUGUGAAGCACCUUCUUGAAAACUUGGAAGGCUCCCUGGAAAAGUCGAUCCCAAGGUAGCUGGCUCCUCUUGCCCCACUGGGCUUGUGACCCACUCUCUCUGGGACCCAGGUCAUUCCCUCUCAGGCAGGGGCUCCUCUCCUCCGGUUUGCAGGCCUGGGAGGGAGCAACAGGAAGUGGGAAGAAGGCAGCGGCCUUGCUCAGGGACACUGGUUAAUUCAUCGGGCUUUGCUGCUUUCCGCAGCUCUGCACCCUCUAGCUGAAUAUUCAGGCUGGCUCCUGGCUUAGCCCUGCCUGCGUCUGUGCAGCUCUAUUUUUACAGCCCUGGUGAUGGCUGAUGAAAACAUUUAAAAAGACACAAAAAUUAAAAAAUUUAAAAGUCGGGUGCCAGCUGUUCUGUUUAGAAAAGCAGCAUGACAUCUGCGUUCUGUCUCACGGAAGUGCAUGGUAUCCUCACCCCCAGCCCACACCCUGAGGCCCAGGGGCUUGGGACAGCUGGCUCAAGCCCCCAUGUUUGCCACUCACCCUCUGCAUGACCUUAGGCAAGCCCCUUCCUGUCCUGUGCCUCAGUUUCCACUAUGUGAUAAAGAGAAAUCUGGACAAGUUGAUCCUGGCUUGAAUUUGGGUGAUUCAAGAACAGUUUCCCUGCAGGAGCCAGGUGUGAUGAGGAAGCAGCUCCUUUUCUGUUCCAACAUCCCCUCCUUCUCCAUCCCUUUGACUAAUUCCCCUGAAAAAGUUCUACUUUUUAACCUGGAGGAAGGGUCCUGCCAGGAUCCUUGCAGUGGGUUGGGAGGCUGUAGGAACAGGGGUUCUAGUCUUGACUGUGCAACUCACUUGCAGUGUGACACCUACACAUGUAAUCUUUUGGGUCUGUUUCCAUAUAUGUCAAAAGGAGGAGGCGGGUAACAAUGCCCACCCUGCUUGCCUCACACAGCAGUGGUCGGAAUCCAAUGUCACAAAAAGUGUAUGUAGUUGAUGAUACUCAGGGUCCCUUCAAUGUCACCAAUUUUCAUGUACUCCAGUCCAGAUAUUAACUGAGCGCUUCAGGUGCUGGAACAUUCAUAGUAGUGACACACGGGGUGGGGGCAGCUACCGGGCGAGGUGAUUUCUGAGCUAGCCUGGUGAGGAGCAGUAUUGCCUCUCAGUUCCCCUGGGGGCAGAAUGGCCAGGAUGGGACGAGGAUACACCCCCGUGACCUCCUCCCUGGCGGAAUGUGGUGGCCACACCAAAAUCUCUCUCCUAUGUGGUCUCUGCAAUGUGACCUCACCUCUCCCCUUGAAUCUGGGUGAACGUGAACUCACCUCGGAGCAAUAGAACGUGCAAAGAAGGCAACCUGAAGCUUAGGAUAGCAAGGCAAUGUGGUUUCCACUUCCUUCGUGGGAAUGCCAUGGAAUCAGUGCUGCCGUCUGAGGCUCUUGCCAUGCGGUGAGGCAGCCCAGCCAGCCCUCUCCCCAGGCUCUGAGCUCACACCAAAAGAGGUGCCCAGGGUGCCCCCAACCCCUCAGGACUGCAACUGCAUUCAGACUGCCCAGGAGAGGACUCCUGAAACUCCUCCCAGAAAUCAUGAGCAACAAUAGUGUUGUUGUCUCUCUCAUUCACUAACUCUCGGGGGACCAUAGUAGCUGGUUCACAGGUGGUGAGUGCAGAGUGGACAGCAAGUUCUCCUUCAGAAAUCUCAGGGAAAGACCAUGGUCCAGAGCCGGAGUGGUGGCUUUGGCAAAGCAUAGCUGUGGACCGUUUGCUGAGCUGGCUUCUCUGGGGGCUCCGAGAGCCUCUUCUGUCAAGUGAGUGAUGGCAAGAUGAUAGCUGUGAUCAGCUUUACUCAUGCUCACCAGAACUUCCAUUCCCCGCCCCCCCCCCCCCACCGCCCCAGAGAAGGUGUGGCCUUGUAAAUCGCUGUCCAGGGAAACCGAAGCAAAAGUGGUAGCUGAGCACAUCCUGGAAGGAAAGCCCAUAUGUGGUUCUCCAUGGUCUCUGACUUGGCCUCAUGUCAAGAUGGUGAUGUCACAAGACACCAACACCUCUUACUCUGUGCUCCUGAAGGUCUGUGAAGAGAGAGACCCUUCCUGCUAAGCCCAACCUUUGUGAUAUGAAGCCACUGAGAUGUGUGUGUGUGUGGGAGGGGAGUUUGUUACCGCAGCGUAAAAUAACUUUCUUGACUGAUGCAAUGAUAAAAAUAAAAAA
RNAcentral lists this long non-coding RNA (4464 nucleotides) under Canis lupus familiaris (dog). Its description in RNAcentral is "lncRNA (ENSCAFG00000058690.1)". Lineage: Eukaryota; Metazoa; Chordata; Mammalia; Carnivora; Canidae. The record is from RNAcentral.